CACGUAGGGCGCAAGCGUUGUCCGGAAUUAUUGGGCGUAAAGAGCUCGUAGGCGGUCUGUUACGUCUGCUGUGAAAACCCUGGGCUUAACCCUGGGCUUGCAGUGGAUACGGGCAGACUAGAGGCAGGUAGGGGAGAAUGGAAUUCCCGGUGUAGCGGUGAAAUGCGCAGAUAUCAGGAGGAACACCGAUGGCGAAGGCAGGUCUCUGGGCCACUACUGACGCUGAGAAGCGAAAGCAUGGGGAGCGAACAGG
Molecule: ribosomal RNA, 253 nt
Filed under: uncultured bacterium
Lineage: Bacteria
Description: partial 16S ribosomal RNA
Rfam family: Bacterial small subunit ribosomal RNA
Source: RNAcentral